GAUGGACGCUGGCGGCGUGCUUAACACAUGCAAGUCGAACGGAAAGGCUCCUGCUUGCAGGGGUACUCGAGUGGCGAACGGGUGAGUAACACGUGGGUGAUCUGCCCUGCACUUCGGGAUAAGCCUGGGAAACUGGGUCUAAUACCGGAUAGGACGAUGGUUUGGAUGCCAUUGUGGAAAGUUUUUUCGGUGUGGGAUGAGCUCGCGGCCUAUCAGCUUGUUGGUGGGGUAAUGGCCUACCAAGGCGUCGACGGGUAGCCGGCCUGAGAGGGUGUACGGCCACAUUGGAACUGAGACACGGUCCAGACUCCUACGGGAGGCAGCAGUAAGGAAUAUUGCUCAAUGGGAGAAAUCCUGAAGCAGCAACGCCGCGUGAGGGACGAAGGGCUUUUGCUUGUAAACCUCUGUAGUGAGAGAAAAAAAUCCCAAUCUUUGGGACAUGAUGGUAUCUCAAAAGUAAGCCCCGGCUAACUACGUG
Molecule: ribosomal RNA, 478 nt
Filed under: uncultured bacterium
Lineage: Bacteria
Description: partial 16S ribosomal RNA
Rfam family: Bacterial small subunit ribosomal RNA
Source: RNAcentral